RNAcentral lists this ribosomal RNA (253 nucleotides) under uncultured bacterium. RNAcentral describes it as "partial 16S ribosomal RNA". It matches the Rfam family "Bacterial small subunit ribosomal RNA", at positions 524 to 776 of the family's 1533-position model. The record is from RNAcentral.
UACAGAGACUGCAAGCGUUACUCGGAUUCACUGGGCGUAAAGGGAGCGCAGGCGGAUCGGUGUGUCAGAUGUGAAACCCCGGGGCUCAACCCCGGGACUGCGUCUGAAACUGCCGGUCUAGGGACUCGGAGGGGCUAGUGGAAUUCCUGGUGGAGCAGUGAAAUGCGUAGAUAUCAGGAGGAACACCAACGGCGAAGGCAGCUAGCUGGACGAGAUCCGACGCUCAGGCUCGAAAGUAUGGGGAGCAAAAAGG